RNAcentral lists this ribosomal RNA (962 nucleotides) under uncultured bacterium. RNAcentral describes it as "bacterial SSU rRNA". It matches the Rfam family "Bacterial small subunit ribosomal RNA", at positions 42 to 984 of the family's 1533-position model. The record is from RNAcentral.
GCGUGCUAGAAUGCAGUCGAACGCGAAAUCUCCCUUCGGGGAGAAAGUAGAGUGGCGCACGGGUGAGUAACACGUAGGUAAUCUACCUUUGGAUGGGGAAUAACGCAGAGAAAUCUGCGCUAAUACCGCAUAAUGCAGCGGCACCUAAUGGUGACAGUUGUUAAAGCGGGGGAUCGUAAGACCUCGCGUCUAAAGAGGAGCCUGCGGCGGAUUAGCUAGUUGGUAAGGUAAUGGCUUACCAAGGCUACGAUCCGUAACCGGCCUGAGAGGGCGGUCGGUCACACUGACACUGACAUACGGGUCAGACUCCUACGGGAGGCAGCAGUCGGGAAUUUUGGGCAAUGGGCGAAAGCCUGACCCAGCAACGCCGCGUGAAGGAUGAAAUCCCUCGGGAUGUAAACUUCGCAAGAACGGGAAGAAUAAGUAGGGGACAAUACCCCCUAUGAUGACGGUACCGUUUGUAAGCUCCGGCUAACUCCGUGCCAGCAGCCGCGGUAAUACGGGGGGAGCAAGCGUUGUUCGGAUUUACUGGGCGUAAAGGGCGCGUAGGCGGUCAGCACAAGUCAGUUGUGAAAUCUCCGAGCCUAACUCGGAAAGGUCAACUGAUACUGUGCGACUAGAGUGCAGAAGGGGCAACUGGAAUUCUCGGUGUAGCGGUGAAAUGCGUAGAUAUCGAGAGGAACACCUGCGGCGAAGGCGGGUUGCUGGGCUGACACUGACGCUGAGGCGCGAAAGCUAGGGGAGCGAACGGGAUUAGAUACCCCGGUAGUCCUAGCCUUAAACGAUGAAUGCUUGGUGUCUGGGGUUAUAUAGUCCCCGGGUGCCGUCGCUAACGCUUUAAGCAUUCCGCCUGGGGAGUACGGUCGCAAGACUGAAACUCAAAGGAAUUGACGGGGACCCGCACAAGCGGUGGAGCAUGUGGUUUAAUUCGACGCAACGCGAAGAACCUUACCUGGGCUAGA